This 253-nucleotide unclassified non-coding RNA is filed under the name uncultured Verrucomicrobiota bacterium. Its description in RNAcentral is "uncultured Verrucomicrobia bacterium contains 16S-23S intergenic spacer region". It matches the Rfam family "Bacterial small subunit ribosomal RNA", at positions 524 to 776 of the family's 1533-position model. The record is from RNAcentral. Lineage: Bacteria; Pseudomonadati; Verrucomicrobiota.
UACGGAGACUGCAAACGUUACUCGGAUUUACUGGGCGUAAAGGGUCCGUAGGCGGCCGGAUGUGUCGGGUGUGAAAUCCUGCAGCUCAACUGCAGAACUGCGCCCGAAACUAUCUGGCUAGAGACUUGGAGAGGUGAGUGGAAUUCCUGGUGUAGCGGUGAAAUGCGUAGAUAUCAGGAGGAACACCAACGGCGAAGGCAACUCACUGGACAAGUUCUGACGCUGAGGGACGAAAGUGUGGGUAGCGAAAGGG